RNAcentral lists this ribosomal RNA (500 nucleotides) under uncultured bacterium. RNAcentral describes it as "partial 16S ribosomal RNA". It matches the Rfam family "Bacterial small subunit ribosomal RNA", at positions 30 to 523 of the family's 1533-position model. The record is from RNAcentral.
AUUGAACGCUGGCGGCAUGCUUUACACAUGCAAGUCGAACGGUAACAGGGUGCUUGCACCGCUGACGAGUGGCGAACGGGUGAGUAAUGCGUCGGAACGCACCGAGUAAUGGGGGAUAACGCAGCGAAAGCUGUGCUAAUACCGCAUACGCUCUGAGGAGGAAAGCGGGGGACCUUCGGGCCUCGCGUUAUUCGAGCGGCCGACGUCUGAUUAGCUAGUAGGUGAGGUAAGAGCUCACCUAGGCGACGAUCAGUAGCGGGUCUGAGAGGAUGAUCCGGCACACUGGGACUGAGACACGGCCCAGACUCCUACGGGAGGCAGCAGUGGGGAAUUUUGGACAAUGGGCGCAAGCCUGAUCCAGCCAUGCCGCGUGUCUGAAGAAGGCCUUCGGGUUGUAAAGGACUUUUGUCAGGGAGGAAAUCCUUAGCGCUAAUACCGUUGAGGGAUGACAGUACCUGAAGAAUAAGCACCGGCUAACUACGUGCCAGCAGCCGCCGCAG